Molecule: ribosomal RNA, 497 nt
Filed under: uncultured bacterium
Lineage: Bacteria
Description: partial 16S ribosomal RNA
Rfam family: Bacterial small subunit ribosomal RNA
Source: RNAcentral
GAUGAACGCUGGCGGCGCGCCUAAUACAUGCAAGUCGAGCGAACAGAUGAUGAGCGUGCUCCUUUGACGUUAGCGGCGGACGGGUGAGUAACACGUGGAUAACCUACCUAUAAGACGGGGAUAACUUCGUGAAACCGGAGCUAAUAACGGAUAAUAUAUUGAACCGCAUGGUUCAAUAGUGCAAGGCGGUUUUGCUGUCACUAAUAGAUGGAUCCGCGCCGCAUUAGCUAGUUGGUAAGGUAACGGCUUACCAAGGCGACGAUGCGUAGCCGACCUGAGAGGAUGAUCAGCCACACUGGAACUGAGACACGGUCCAGACUCCUACGGGAGGCAGCAGUAGGGAAUCUUGCGCAAUGGGCGAAAGCCUGACGGAGCAACGCCGCGUGAGUGAUGAAGGUCUUCGGAUCGUAAAACUCUGUUAUUAGGGAAGAACAAAUGUGUAAUUAACUCUGCACGUCUUGACGGUACCUAAACAGAAAGCACCGGCUAACUACGUG